UACGUAGGGGGCUAGCGUUGUCCGGAAUUAUUGGGCGUAAAGCGCGCGCAGGCGGUCCUUUAAGUCUGAUGUGAAAGCCCACGGCUCAACCGUGGAGGGUCAUUGGAAACUGGGGGACUUGAGUGCAGAAGAGGAAAGCGGAAUUCCACGUGUAGCGGUGAAAUGCGUAGAGAUGUGGAGGAACACCAGUGGCGAAGGCGGCUUUCUGGUCUGUAACUGACGCUGAGGCGCGAAAGCGUGGGGAGCAAACAGG
Molecule: ribosomal RNA, 253 nt
Filed under: uncultured bacterium
Lineage: Bacteria
Description: partial 16S ribosomal RNA
Rfam family: Bacterial small subunit ribosomal RNA
Source: RNAcentral